This 200-nucleotide ribosomal RNA is filed under the name uncultured bacterium. Its description in RNAcentral is "partial 16S ribosomal RNA". It matches the Rfam family "Bacterial small subunit ribosomal RNA", at positions 29 to 232 of the family's 1533-position model. The record is from RNAcentral.
AGUGAACGCUGGCGGCAGGCCUAACACAUGCAAGUCGAGCGGCAGCGCGGGGCAACCUGGCGGCGAGCGGCGGACGGGUGAGGAAUGCAUCGGAAUCUACCCUGUCGUGGGGGAUAACGUAGGGAAACUUACGCUAAUACCGCAUACGACCGAGAGGUGAAAGUGGGGGACCGCAAGGCCUCACGCGAUUGGAUGAGCCG